Non-coding RNA from Trematomus bernacchii (emerald rockcod), 768 nucleotides. NCBI's taxonomy places the organism in Eukaryota, Metazoa, Chordata, Actinopteri, Perciformes, Nototheniidae. The record is from the annotation of a RefSeq genome assembly.
UAAAGACUGCAAACAUAACUCAGCUUCAUCAACAUCUUUCUGUACGUCUCACUUCCAGCUAACACGGCAGAGACUCUGACGUCAUUUCCUCCACAAAGAACUAAAGAGGUGGCCGUUUGUAUUUUCCUUCAGUUCACUUCCCCCUCCUGAAUCACAAUGAUCCCAGGCUUCUCCUGCUUCACGCUCUUUGUGCUUUUGGCUGCAGAUGUGUGUCAGUCGGUGCUCAUCACUCAGUGGCCUCACUACAUCUCCAGGCUUCCCAACGGUUCAGCAGAAAUGCACUGCUACCAGAACGAAACCAACUAUGAUUAUGUGUACUGGUACCGGCAGCAGAGAGGACAGGGUUUCCAGUUAAUGGCGUAUGUAGUAGCUGGCUUUGAAAACUAUGAAGAAGGGUUUAAAUCUGGUUACCAGGCAGUGAAAGUGAAGGAGAAGCAGCUGUGGUCCCUGAGCAUCAGCAGCGUUCAGGAGGAAGACGAGGCUGUUUAUCUGUGCGCUGCCAGUCUGCACAGUGCUGCCACAGACCUCAGGCCUGCACAAAAACUCACUGCCACACGAGAGGCUGCCCGACGAACAGCCAUCAUGUUCACAUACAGGAACUCACACACACUGUGGAGGAGAACAUAUCAGGGACUAGACGCAUGUGUUAAAUGGAAGUGAGGAAUGUGUGAAGGAAAGGGAAAAAACUGUUUAAAAUAAAAGGAUUAUUGAUUGUUUUGUGUUUUCCCGACUAACUGAGGUUGUGCAAAUUACUGUCCAGAAUCUUCA